RNAcentral lists this ribosomal RNA (497 nucleotides) under uncultured bacterium. Its description in RNAcentral is "partial 16S ribosomal RNA". It matches the Rfam family "Bacterial small subunit ribosomal RNA", at positions 28 to 507 of the family's 1533-position model. The record is from RNAcentral.
GAUGAACGCUGGCGGCGUGCCUAAUACAUGCAAGUCGAGCGAACGGACGAGAAGCUUGCUUCUCUGAUGUUAGCGGCGGACGGGUGAGUAACACGUGGAUAACCUACCUAUAAGACUGGGAUAACUUCGGGAAACCGUAGCUAAUACCGGAUAAUAUUUUGAACCGCAUGGUUCAAAAGUGAAAGACGGUCUUGCUGUCACUUAUAGAUGGAUCCGCGCUGCAUUAGCUAGUUGGUAAGGUAACGGCUUACCAAGGCAACGAUGCAUAGCCGAACUGAGAGGGUGAUCGGCCACACUGGAACUGAGACACGGUCCAGACUCCUACGGGAGGCAGCAGUAGGGAAUCUUCCGCAAUGGGCGAAAGCCUGACGGAGCAACGCCGCGUGAGUGAUGAAGGUCUUCGGAUCGUAAAACUCUGUUAUUAGGGAAGAACAUAUGUGUAAGUAACUGUGCACAUCUUGACGGUACCUAAUCAGAAAGCCACGGCUAACUACGUG